AGACUGUAUGAGGAAGAGUAUGAUUGGAGACCAUGCUAGGACGGUAUCAAUUUUAGCUCACUGAACGAGACCAAUAGGUUGUCUCAGGAAGAUAGAUCUCCAAAGAACAUAUUUUUGAGGGUUUCAGGACGUGCAAGAAAGACAAGACGUCGGGCCCCGAUGGGUUAACUAUGGGGUUUCUUCAGGAGUUUUGGCAUGUAGUGAAGAGGGAUAUUGUUGACUUAUCCAUUAGUUUCAUGCUGCUGGCUCUUUUGUUAA
Molecule: long non-coding RNA, 258 nt
Filed under: Carica papaya (papaya)
Lineage: Eukaryota; Viridiplantae; Streptophyta; Magnoliopsida; Brassicales; Caricaceae
Description: long non-coding RNA (CPAP_LNC014131)
Source: RNAcentral